RNAcentral lists this ribosomal RNA (235 nucleotides) under uncultured bacterium. RNAcentral's name for it is "partial 16S ribosomal RNA". It matches the Rfam family "Bacterial small subunit ribosomal RNA", at positions 100 to 333 of the family's 1533-position model. The record is from RNAcentral.
CGGGACGGGUGAGUAACGCGUGGAUAACCUGCCUCACACAGGGGGAUAACAGUUAGAAAUGACUGCUAAUACCGCAUAAGCGCACGGUACCGCAUGGUACAGUGUGAAAAACUCCGGUGGUGUGAGAUGGAUCCGCGUCUGAUUAGGUAGUUGGUGAGGUAACGGCCCACCAAGCCGACGAUCAGUAGCCGACCUGAGAGGGUGACCGGCCACAUUGGGACUGAGACACGGCCAA